UAUCUGCCAGUGCUGCAAAACCAUCGAUGGACCGUCCAUCGAUUUUGUUUGAGUCCGAUGGAUUAAAACAUCGAUAGUAUCGAUGGUUCCAUCGAAAAUAGCUCCAUCAUUCAAAAAUUAUUGAAAAUUCAUAGAAAAAAAUCAACUUUAUAAACAUUUAUACUUAUUCAUCACAAAACAGUCAAUCCUAAAAAUAAACUUUGGUUCAUAUAUAUCUUAUAUCUAAAAAACAAAAAGUUCGACUGUAAUUAACAAGUCUUAAAAUUUAACUUAAAAUUAAAAAACAAAGCUUGACUAUCUUUCACAAAAGUCUUGAGCUUAAAACUAAAAUUAAUUAUCGUGAGAUCCAUUAUGUGCACGCUUUAAAUGCUCUUGCAUAUUUGAUGUGUUCCCGCUCGUUUUAUAAUGCUGCCCACACAACAGGCAUUUCACAAAGUUUUUUUCUUGGCAUUUUUCGAAAAACUUCCAUACUUGAGAUUUCUCAAGGCGCAAUAUUUUCAGUGUGUACCGUAACAGCAAAUGAAGAUUCCUUAUUGGCGUCUGCAGGCGAAGAAGCACAUUUAUCUAAAAUCCAAAACAAUUAGAAAAAACGUGUUUGCUAUUAAUUGUAUGAAUCUUACCAGAUGGGAUCAAAAAAUUUUCCAUUUUCCGUGGAGGAACCGCCAACAAUUAAAUAAUGUGGUAAAUAGUUAUCUAUGUGCUAUAUGUUAAAAAAUAAAUCAAAUUGUUUGUGUAAAAUA
Molecule: long non-coding RNA, 740 nt
Organism: Drosophila mojavensis
Lineage: Eukaryota; Metazoa; Arthropoda; Insecta; Diptera; Drosophilidae
Exons: 2
Source: RefSeq, a predicted model, not a curated record